UUCAGAGUAUUUCUGAGUCCAAACUGAUUGCCGCCAUAGCUGAAUCCUUUGAGUGGAUUUAAUUCGGUUUUGACAUAGAAUGGGGUCCAACUAAUCUUAAUAAUUUUUUAAGUUUGGUUUUUCCUGCCCCCAACUCUAAGCAAAAGCACAUGUUGAUUUCAUCAAGAUUAGAUCAGGCUUCGAAAAUGAAAAUGCCUUCUGAUUAGAUAUCAAAGAGUUGUUGCAAGCGCCAUUUGGGUUUGGGAUAUUAUGAACUUUGAGCCUAAGCCUCUAUAAAUUUGUUGGUGCAGCUUGAUGUUGACAUUGCUACUCGUAUACGUAUCAAGGAAGAUGGACCCAAUAGGAGCUUGCUUUCCAUAGAGACAGCAGAUCGGCCUGGACUGCUGGUAGAGAUUAUCAAAGUCAUUAUUGAUGUAGAAUCUGCAGAAAUUGAUACGGAGGGAUUAGUGGCGAAAGACAAGUUUCACGUUAGCUACAGAGGAGCAGCUUUAAAUAGUUCCUUGUCUCAGGUGCUGGUGAAUUGCCUGCGUUAUUACCUUAGAUGGCCGGAAACUGAUAUCGAUAGUUAUUAAUACUUGAAGAUAUACCCUAUAAACCAAAUUGGUUGGUUCUUGUACCAAAUCCUAUGUGAGCUCGGGAUAUUAAAAUUUUUUUUCUCUAUAGAUUUAUAGGUUCAUGUUGCACAAUGCAUGGUGGGAUGUUUCUCGACGCUUCACACUUACACGACCUGCAUCCCAUAUGAAACAAAACGUUGGUUACACAACUAAAUGAUGUGAAAUGUUUCAAAUGUUUGGAGCUUUGGAUUAUGUUC
Molecule: long non-coding RNA, 811 nt
Organism: Hibiscus syriacus
Lineage: Eukaryota; Viridiplantae; Streptophyta; Magnoliopsida; Malvales; Malvaceae
Exons: 4
Source: RefSeq, a predicted model, not a curated record